UACGGAGGGUGCAAGCGUUAUCCGGAUUCACUGGGUUUAAAGGGUGCGUAGGUGGUGUGGUAAGUCAGUGGUGAAAUCUCCAAGCUUAACUUGGAAACUGCCGUUGAUACUAUCAUUCUUGAAUAUCGUGGAGGUAAGCGGAAUAUGUCAUGUAGCGGUGAAAUGCUUAGAUAUGACAUAGAACACCGAUUGCGGAGGCAGCUUGCUACACGAUCAUUGACACUGAGGCACGAAAGCGUGGGGAUCAAACAGG
This 253-nucleotide ribosomal RNA is filed under the name uncultured bacterium. RNAcentral's name for it is "partial 16S ribosomal RNA". It matches the Rfam family "Bacterial small subunit ribosomal RNA", at positions 524 to 776 of the family's 1533-position model. The record is from RNAcentral.